AUUGAACGCUGGCGGCAUGCCUUACACAUGCAAGUCGAACGGCAGCACGGGAGCAAUCCUGGUGGCGAGUGGCGAACGGGUGAGUAAAGUAUCGGAACGUGCCCAGUCGUGGGGGAUAACGUAGCGAAAGUUACGCUAAUACCGCAUACGAUCUAUGGAUGAAAGCGGGGGAUCGCAAGACCUCGCGCGAUUGGAGCGGCCGAUAUCAGAUUAGGUAGUUGGUGGGGUAAAGGCUCACCAAGCCGACGAUCUGUAGCUGGUCUGAGAGGACGACCAGCCACACUGGGACUGAGUCACAGCCCAGCCUCCUACGGGAGGCGGCAGUGGGGAAUUUUGGACAAUGGGCGAAAGCCUGAUCCAGCCAUGCCGCGUGCAGGAUGAAGGCCUUCGGGUUGUAAACUGCUUUUGUGCGGAACGAAAAGGUUUGGGCUAAUAAGCUGAGCUCAUGACGGUACCGUAAGAAUAAGCACCGGCUAACUACGUGCCAGCAGCCGCCGUAA
RNAcentral lists this ribosomal RNA (500 nucleotides) under uncultured bacterium. RNAcentral describes it as "partial 16S ribosomal RNA". It matches the Rfam family "Bacterial small subunit ribosomal RNA", at positions 30 to 523 of the family's 1533-position model. The record is from RNAcentral.